This 428-nucleotide ribosomal RNA is filed under the name uncultured bacterium. RNAcentral's name for it is "partial 16S ribosomal RNA". It matches the Rfam family "Bacterial small subunit ribosomal RNA", at positions 354 to 796 of the family's 1533-position model. The record is from RNAcentral.
GUGGGGAAUAUUGGGCAAUGGGGGAAACCCUGACCCAGCAACGCCGCGUGAGGGAAGAAGGUUUUCGGAUUGUAAACCUCUGUCCUUGGUGACGAAGGAAGUGACGGUAACCAAGGAGGAAGCCCCGGCUAACUACGUGCCAGCAGCCGCGGUAAUACGUAGGGGGCAAGCGUUGUCCGGAAUGACUGGGCGUAAAGGGCGUGUAGGCGGCCGAUUAAGUCUGGAGUGAAAGUCCUGCUUUCAAGGUGGGAAUUGCGUUGGAGACUGGUUGGCUUGAGUGCGGAAGAGGUGAGUGGAAUUCCCAGUGUAGCGGUGAAAUGCGUAGAGAUUGGGAGUAACACCAGUGGCGAAGGCGACUUACUGGGCCGUAACUGACGCUGAGGCGCGAAAGCGUGGGGAGCGAACAGGAUUAGAUACCCCUGUAGUCC